AUGACGGCCUUCGGGUUGUAAACCGCUUUCGCCUGUGACGAAGCGUGAGUGACGGUAAUGGGUAAAGAAGCACCGGCUAACUACGUGCCAGCAGCCGCGGUGAUACGUAGGGUGCGAGCGUUGUCCGGAUUUAUUGGGCGUAAAGGGCUCGUAGGUGGUUGAUCGCGUCGGAAGUGUAAUCUUGGGGCUUAACCCUGAGCGUGCUUUCGAUACGGGUUGACUUGAGGAAGGUAGGGGAGAAUGGAAUUCCUGGUGGAGCGGUGGAAUGCGCAGAUAUCAGGAGGAACACCAGUGGCGAAGGCGGUUCUCUGGGCCUUUCCUGACGCUGAGGAGCGAAAGCGUGGGGAGCGAACAGGCUUAGAUACCCUGGUAGUCCACGCUGUAAACGGUGGGUACUAGGUGUGGGGUCCAUUCCACGGGUUCCGUGCCGUAGCUAACGCUUUAAGUACCCCGCCUGGGGAGUACGGCCGCAAGGCUAAAACUCAAAGG
RNAcentral lists this ribosomal RNA (489 nucleotides) under uncultured Propionibacterium sp. RNAcentral's name for it is "bacterial SSU rRNA". It matches the Rfam family "Bacterial small subunit ribosomal RNA", at positions 408 to 907 of the family's 1533-position model. The record is from RNAcentral. Lineage: Bacteria; Bacillati; Actinomycetota; Actinomycetes; Propionibacteriales; Propionibacteriaceae.